RNAcentral lists this ribosomal RNA (244 nucleotides) under uncultured bacterium. RNAcentral describes it as "partial 16S ribosomal RNA". It matches the Rfam family "Bacterial small subunit ribosomal RNA", at positions 529 to 772 of the family's 1533-position model. The record is from RNAcentral.
AGGGGGCAAGCGUUAUCCGGAAUUACUGGGUGUAAAGGGUGCGUAGGCGGCGAUUUAAGUCAGAUGUGAAAACUCAGGGCUCAACCUUGAGACUGCAUCUGAAACUGAGUUGCUAGAGUGCAGGAGAGGAAAGCGGAAUUCCGAGUGUAGCGGUGAAAUGCGUAGAGAUUCGGAGGAACACCAGUAGCGAAGGCGGCUUUCUGGACUGUAACUGACGCUGAGGCACGAAAGCGUGGGGAGCGAA